Molecule: small nuclear RNA, 298 nt
Filed under: Castor canadensis (American beaver)
Lineage: Eukaryota; Metazoa; Chordata; Mammalia; Rodentia; Castoridae
Description: 7SK RNA (ENSCCNG00000017781.1)
Rfam family: 7SK RNA
About the family: 7SK was discovered as an abundant small nuclear RNA in the mid-70s but a possible function has only recently been suggested. Two independent studies have found that 7SK RNA binds the CDK9/cyclin T complex (known as elongation factor P-TEFb).
Source: RNAcentral
GGAUGUGAGGGCUAUCUGGCUGCGACAUCUGUCACCCCACUGAUCAGGUCAUCAAUCAGGGUUGAUUUGGCUGAUCUGGCUGGCUAGGCGGGUGUCCCUUUCCUCCCUCAACACUCCAUGUGAGUCCCUCCCGAAGCUGCACACUCAGUCCAAGAGGACGACCAUCCCCAAUAGAGGAGGACCGUUCUUAGGUCAAGGGUAUACGAGAGUAGCUAGAACAUCCAAACAAGCUCUCAGAGACAAGGAGAAAAUGUAAAUCCCCAGUCACCAAUUUCUUUUUCUAGAAAAAGUCAAAAUU